ACAUUUUCAACUCUUAUACACAAUCUUUUUCAACUAGAAACUACCCUUACAAAGCUCUCAUUAGAACCCAAGAGAUCCUCUAAACCCCUGAACGACCGCUAUCCACUGCCUGACAGGCUACCCGAAACACUCCUAUACUUCUGCACUAUGUUGGCUGUUGUUGCUCUUUGCUCCAUGGGUUUUAGGUCUCUACUGAACCACCCCCACCCG
This 210-nucleotide long non-coding RNA is filed under the name Elaeis guineensis (African oil palm). RNAcentral describes it as "long non-coding RNA (EGUI_LNC010139)". The record is from RNAcentral. Lineage: Eukaryota; Viridiplantae; Streptophyta; Magnoliopsida; Arecales; Arecaceae.